This 428-nucleotide ribosomal RNA is filed under the name uncultured Bacillota bacterium. RNAcentral describes it as "bacterial SSU rRNA". It matches the Rfam family "Bacterial small subunit ribosomal RNA", at positions 958 to 1385 of the family's 1533-position model. Lineage: Bacteria; Bacillati; Bacillota. The record is from RNAcentral.
AACGCGAAGAACCUUACCAGGUCUUGACAUCCUCUGACACUCCUAGAGAUAGGACGUUCCCCUUCGGGGGACAGAGUGACAGGUGGUGCAUGGUUGUCGUCAGCUCGUGUCGUGAGAUGUUGGGUUAAGUCCCGCAACGAGCGCAACCCUUGAUCUUAGUUGCCAGCAUUUAGUUGGGCACUCUAAGGUGACUGCCGGUGACAAACCGGAGGAAGGUGGGGAUGACGUCAAAUCAUCAUGCCCCUUAUGACCUGGGCUACACACGUGCUACAAUGGAUGGUACAAAGGGCAGCGAAGCCGCGAGGUGGAGCCAAUCCCAUAAAACCAUUCUCAGUUCGGAUUGUAGGCUGCAACUCGCCUACAUGAAGCUGGAAUCGCUAGUAAUCGCGGAUCAGCAUGCCGCGGUGAAUACGUUCCCGGGCCUUGUA